UUAAGCGACUAAGCGUACACGGUGGAUGCCCUGGCAGUCAGAGGCGAUGAAGGACGUGCUAAUCUGCGAAAAGCGUCGGUAAGGUGAUAUGAACCGUUAUAACCGGCGAUGUCCGAAUGGGGAAACCCAGUGCAAUUCGUUGCACUAUCGUUAACUGAAUACAUAGGUUAACGAGGCGAACCGGGGAACUGAAACAUCUAAGUACCCGAGGAAAAGAAAUCAACCGAGAUUCCCCAGUAGCGGCGAGCGAACGGGAGCAGCCCAGAGUCUGAAUCAGCUUGUGUGUUAGUGGAACGGUCUGGAAAGUCCGACGGUACAGGGUGAUAGUCCCGUACACCAAAAUGCACAGGUUGUGAACUCGAAGAGUAGGGCGGGACACGUGGUAUCCUGUCUGAAUAUGGGGGGACCAUCCUCCAAGGCUAAAUACUCCUGACUGACCGAUAGUGAACCAGUACCGUGAGGGAAAGGCGAAAAGAACCCCGGCGAGGGGAGUGAAAAAGAACCUGAAACCGUGUACGUACAAGCAGUGGGAGCACCUUCGGGUGUGACUGCGUACCUUUUGUAUAAUGGGUCAGCGACUUAUAUUCUGUAGCAAGGUUAACCGUAUAGGGAGCCGCAGGAAACCGAGUCUUAACUGGGCGUUAAGUUGCAGGGUAUAGACCCGAAACCCGGUGAUUCAGCCAUGGGCAGGUUGAAGGUUGGGUAACACUAACUGGAGGACCGAACCGACUAAUGUUGAAAAAUUAGCGGAUGACUUGUGGCUGGGGUGAAAGGCCAAUCAAACCGGGAGAUAGCUGGUUCUCCCGAAAGCUAUUUAGGUAGCGCCUCGUGAAUUCAUCUUCGGGGUAGAGCACUGUUUCGGCUAGGGGUCAUCCCGACUUACCAACCCGAUGCAAACUACGAAUACCGAAGAAUGUUAUCACGGGAGACACACGGCGGUGCUAACGUCCGUCGUGAAGAGGAAACAACCCAGACCGCCAGCUAAGGUCCCAAAGUCAUGGUUAAGUGGAAACGAUGUGGGAAGGCACAGACAGCCAGGAUGUUGGCUUAGAAGCAGCCAUCAUUUAAAGAAAGCGUAAUAGCUCACUGGUCGAGUCGGCCUGCGCGGAAGAUGUAACGGGGCUAAACCAUGCACCGAAGCUGCGGCAGCGACACUAUGUGUUGUUGGGUAGGGGAGCGUUCUGUAAGCCUGCGAAGGUGGCCUGUGAGGGUUGCUGGAGGUAUCAGAAGUGCGAAUGCUGACAUAAGUAACGAUAAAGCGGGUGAAAAGCCCGCUCGCCGGAAGACCAAGGGUUCCUGUCCAACGUUAAUCGGGGCAGGGUGAGUCGACCCCUAAGGCGAGGCCGAAAGGCGUAGUCGAUGGGAAACAGGUUAAUAUUCCUGUACUUGGUGUUACUGCGAAGGGGGGACGGAGAAGGCUAUGUUAGCCGGGCGACGGUUGUCCCGGUUUAAGCAUGUAGGCUGGUUAUCCAGGCAAAUCCGGAUAAUCAAGGCUGAGGUGUGAUGACGAGGCACUACGGUGCUGAAGUAACAAAUGCCCUGCUUCCAGGAAAAGCCUCUAAGCAUCAGGUAACAUUAAAUCGUACCCCAAACCGACACAGGUGGUCAGGUAGAGAAUACCAAGGCGCUUGAGAGAACUCGGGUGAAGGAACUAGGCAAAAUGGUGCCGUAACUUCGGGAGAAGGCACGCUGGUGUGUAGGUGAAGUCCCUGCGGAUGGAGCUGAGACCAGUCGAAGAUACCAGCUGGCUGCAACUGUUUAUUAAAAACACAGCACUGUGCAAACACGAAAGUGGACGUAUACGGUGUGACGCCUGCCCGGUGCCGGAAGGUUAAUUGAUGGGGUUAUCCGUAAGGAGAAGCUCUUGAUCGAAGCCCCGGUAAACGGCGGCCGUAACUAUAACGGUCCUAAGGUAGCGAAAUUCCUUGUCGGGUAAGUUCCGACCUGCACGAAUGGCGUAAUGAUGGCCAGGCUGUCUCCACCCGAGACUCAGUGAAAUUGAACUCGCUGUGAAGAUGCAGUGUACCCGCGGCAAGACGGAAAGACCCCGUGAACCUUUACUAUAGCUUGACACUGAACAUUGAGCCUUGAUGUGUAGGAUAGGUGGGAGGCUUUGAAGCGUGGACGCCAGUCUGCGUGGAGCCAACCUUGAAAUACCACCCUUUAAUGUUUGAUGUUCUAACGUUGGCCCCUGACCGGGGUUGCGGACAGUGUCUGGUGGGUAGUUUGACUGGGGCGGUCUCCUCCCAAAGCGUAACGGAGGAGCACGAAGGUUAGCUAAUCCUGGUCGGACAUCAGGAGGUUAGUGCAAUGGCAUAAGCUAGCUUGACUGCGAGCGUGACGGCGCGAGCAGGUGCGAAAGCAGGUCAUAGUGAUCCGGUGGUUCUGAAUGGAAGGGCCAUCGCUCAACGGAUAAAAGGUACUCCGGGGAUAACAGGCUGAUACCGCCCAAGAGUUCAUAUCGACGGCGGUGUUUGGCACCUCGAUGUCGGCUCAUCACAUCCUGGGGCUGAAGUAGGUCCCAAGGGUAUGGCUGUUCGCCAUUUAAAGUGGUACGCGAGCUGGGUUUAGAACGUCGUGAGACAGUUCGGUCCCUAUCUGCCGUGGGCGCUGGAGAAUUGAGGGGGGCUGCUCCUAGUACGAGAGGACCGGAGUGGACGCAUCACUGGUGUUCGGGUUGUCAUGCCAAUGGCACUGCCCGGUAGCUAAAUGCGGAAGAGAUAAGUGCUGAAAGCAUCUAAGCACGAAACUUGCCCCGAGAUGAGUUCUCCCUGAGACUUUAAGUCUCCUGAAGGAACGUUGAAGACGACGACGUUGAUAGGCCGGGUGUGUAAGCGCAGCGAUGCGUUGAGCUAACCGGUACUAAUGAACCGUGAGGCUUAACCU
RNAcentral lists this ribosomal RNA (2886 nucleotides) under Klebsiella pneumoniae. RNAcentral describes it as "bacterial LSU rRNA". It matches the Rfam family "Bacterial large subunit ribosomal RNA". Lineage: Bacteria; Pseudomonadati; Pseudomonadota; Gammaproteobacteria; Enterobacterales; Enterobacteriaceae. The record is from RNAcentral.